AGAGUUUGAUCAUGGCUCAGAACGAACGCUGGUAGCGUGGAUUAGGCAUGCAAGUCGAACGGGAUCGGCAGCGGUAGUAAUACAACUGUCGUGAGAGUGGCGGAAGGGCGAGCAAUGCAUGGGCAAUCUACCCUUGAGCUGGGGAUAACGCCGUGAAAACGGUGCUAAUACCGAAUGUGGCUCUCCGAGGCAUCUCGGGGCGGCCAAAGGUGGGGACCGCAAGGCCUGCCGCUCAAGGAGGAGCCCGUGUGCCAUCAGCUUGUUGGCGAGGUAACGGCUCACCAAGGCUUACGGCUAGCUGGUCUGAGAGGACGACCAGCCGCACUGGGACUGAGACACUGCCCAGACUCCUACGGGAGGCUGCAGUCGAGGAUCAUUCGCAAUGGGCGAAAGCCUGACGAUGCGACGCUGCGUGGAGGAUGACGGCCUUCGGGUUGUAAACUCCUGUCAUGAGGAAAAAAGGUGCUGGGCGUGAAUAUCGCCUGGCCUCGAUGGUACCUCAAGAGGAAGCCACGGCUAACUCUGUGCCAGCAGCCGCGGUAAUACAGAGGUGGCGAGCGUUGUUCGGAUUUACUGGGCGUAAAGGGCGCGUAGGCUGUUUUGUGUGUCGAGUGUGAAAUCUCCAGGCUCAACCUGGAAAGUGCGCUCGAAACUGCAAGACUCGAGCAUGGUAGGGGAGAGCGGAAUACACAGUGUAGCGGUGAAAUGCGUUGAUAUUGUGUAGAACACCGGUGGCGAAGGCGGCUCUCUGGAACAUUGCUGACGCUGAGGCGCGAAAGUUGGGGGAGCAAACAGGAUUAGAUACCCUGGUAGUCCCAACUGUAAACGGUGUGCACUGGACGUGGGGGGAUUUCACCCCCCCCGUGUCGAAGCUAACGCGUUAAGUGCACCGCCUGGGGAGUACGGCCGCAAGGUUAAAACUCAAAUGAAUUGACGG
Molecule: ribosomal RNA, 937 nt
Filed under: uncultured bacterium
Lineage: Bacteria
Description: bacterial SSU rRNA
Rfam family: Bacterial small subunit ribosomal RNA
Source: RNAcentral